UACGUAGGGGGCAAGCGUUGUCCGGAAUCAUUGGGCGUAAAGCGCGCGUAGGCGGCCCGGUAAGUCCGCUCUGAAAGUCCAGGGCUCAACCCUGGAAAGCGGGUGGAUACUGCCGGGCUAGAAUCCGGAAGAGGCGAGUGGAAUUCCUGGUGUAGCGGUGGAAUGCGCAGAUAUCAGGAAGAACACCCGUGGCUAAGGCGGCUCUCUAGUACGGUACUGACGCUGAGACGCGAAAGCGUGGGGAGCGAACAGG
This 253-nucleotide ribosomal RNA is filed under the name uncultured bacterium. RNAcentral's name for it is "partial 16S ribosomal RNA". It matches the Rfam family "Bacterial small subunit ribosomal RNA", at positions 524 to 776 of the family's 1533-position model. The record is from RNAcentral.